Long non-coding RNA from Erinaceus europaeus (western European hedgehog), 624 nucleotides. RefSeq lists it as uncharacterized. The record is from RefSeq and is a predicted model, not a curated record. Lineage: Eukaryota; Metazoa; Chordata; Mammalia; Eulipotyphla; Erinaceidae. The transcript has 3 exons.
AGCCAAGUUCUGCAGCUCCCCUCGCUAGUCAGUGGGCUGGCAGAACUCAAAUGGAUCCUAGCCCUGCCUGUGUCAACCAACACAGAGCGUGUAGCCUGCGGUCCUUAGUAUGUUAAGUUCUCAAUGAUUAAAUCAAGCUCCCUGGUGCCACUUUCUCAGAUGAUAUGAUAGGUGGAACACCCAGGAUCUAUGAGCCCAAAUAUAAGAAAAAUAUCCCAGGAUGUCUGUUUUGCACACAUCUCUGAAGAAUCAAGCCCAACAAGAGAAAACAAAACAAAACAAAACAAAGACAAUGGGACAUCACACUGAGACGUGGUUCACAGAGUCAUCAAGCAGUGUCCCAGGGUUGUCUGCACCUCACACUGGCUGCUGUAUGAGACUGACAGCAGCAUCUACUGAGCUCCGCUUUCCAGUUCAAGGUUCCAGAUGCCACCAGGAUGCUGGCCAGGCUUCCCUGGAUUGAAGACCCCACCAAUGUGUCCUGGAGCUCAGCUUCCCCAGAGACACACCCUACUAGGGAAAGAGAGAGGCAGACUGGGAGUAUGGACCAACCAGUUAACGCCCAUGUUCAGUGGGGAAGCAAUUACAGAAGCCAGACCCUCUACCUUCUGCAACCCUCAAUGA